This 253-nucleotide ribosomal RNA is filed under the name uncultured bacterium. RNAcentral describes it as "partial 16S ribosomal RNA". It matches the Rfam family "Bacterial small subunit ribosomal RNA", at positions 524 to 776 of the family's 1533-position model. The record is from RNAcentral.
UACAGAGGGUGCAAGCGUUAAUCGGAGUUACUGGGCGUAAAGGGCGCGUAGGCGGUUGUUUAAGUGAGAUGUGAAAUCCCUGGGCUUAACCUAGGAACUGCAUCUCAUACUGGACAGCUAGAGUAUUGUAGAGGGUAGUGGAAUUUCCGGUGUAGCGGUGAAAUGCGUAGAGAUCGGAAGGAACACCAGUGGCGAAGGCGGCUACCUGGACAAAUACUGACGCUGAGGCGCGAGAGCGUGGGGAGCAAACAGG